Phyllostomus discolor (pale spear-nosed bat) is the source of this 80-nucleotide long non-coding RNA. RefSeq lists it as uncharacterized. Lineage: Eukaryota; Metazoa; Chordata; Mammalia; Chiroptera; Phyllostomidae. The record is from RefSeq and is a predicted model, not a curated record. The transcript is spliced from 3 exons.
AUGUAUCCUGACCCGGGAUUAAACCCGCAACCUCGGCAUAACUGGAUGAUGCUCUAACCAACUGAACUACCCAGCCAAGG